Long non-coding RNA from Girardinichthys multiradiatus, 416 nucleotides. RefSeq lists it as uncharacterized. The record is from RefSeq and is a predicted model, not a curated record. The transcript is spliced from 2 exons. NCBI's taxonomy places the organism in Eukaryota, Metazoa, Chordata, Actinopteri, Cyprinodontiformes, Goodeidae.
UGGAGGAGGGGAGAAACGGAUGGUGAGGCACAACACUGAUGGAGAGGAAGAAACACAGCAAAAGAUGACACUACAGCGACUGAGCAUGCUCAUCGCUUCCUAAUCCCGGAAGAUCAAGAGCAUCCAGGCUGGAAGUGUGACUGGGCGGAAGCCAGCAUGAAGCUUCCAGAGAUGUUGACUCACAUGGUGAUCGCUCCAGGCUCACCACCACAGCAUGUCACUGCUGUCUAACCUUUUGUUGUUUCAGCCUCAAAUUUGUAUUCAGAUUUGUAUUCAAAUGUCAAAUAUUUGCUACCUCAUGUGAGCAAUGCCCAUUAUUAGUUUUUCUGCCAUUCAGUGAUAGAUAUUGGUUAUUAGAGCAGAAAACAUAUUUGCACAGGCUAAACGCAGAUGAAAAUAAGAGGUUAUGUGUCAAG